CUACGGGAGGCAGCAGUGGGGAAUCUUGGACAAUGGGCGCAAGCCUGAUCCAGCCAUGCCGCGUGAGUGAAGAAGGCCUUAGGGUCGUAAAGCUCUUUCGCCAGAGAUGAUAAUGACAGUAUCUGGUAAAGAAACCCCGGCUAACUCCGUGCCAGCAGCCGCGGUGGAAUACGGAGGGGGUUAGCGUUGUUCGGAAUUACUGGGCGUAAAGCGCGCGUAGGCGGAUUAGUCAGUCAGAGGUGAAAUCCCAGGGCUCAACCCUGGAACUGCCUUUGAUACUGCUAGUCUUGAGUUCGAGAGAGGUGAGUGGAAUUCCGAGUGUAGAGGUGAAAUUCGUAGAUAUUCGGAGGAACACCAGUGGCGAAGGCGGCUCACUGGCUCGAUACUGACGCUGAGGUGCGAAAGUGUGGGGAGCAAACAGGAUUAGAUACCCUGGUAGUC
Molecule: ribosomal RNA, 441 nt
Filed under: uncultured bacterium
Lineage: Bacteria
Description: partial 16S ribosomal RNA
Rfam family: Bacterial small subunit ribosomal RNA
Source: RNAcentral